UGUAAUGUACUCUCUCUUCGGAGCAUCGGUGACAGGUGGUGCAUGGUUGUCGUCAGCUCGUGUCGUGAGAUGUUGGGUUAAGUCCCGCAACGAGCGCAACCCCUGUCCUUAGUAGCCAGCAGUUCGGCUGGGCACUCUAGGGAGACUGCCAGGGAUAACCUGGAGGAAGGCGGGGAUGACGUCAAAUCAUCAUGCCCCUUAUGACUUGGGCUACACACGUGCUACAAUGGCGUAAACAAAGGGAAGCGGAGCCGCGAGGCCGAGCAAAUCUCAAAAAUAACGUCUCAGUUCGGACUGUAGUCUGCAACCCGACUACACGAAGCUGGAAUCGCUAGUAAUCGCAAAUCAGAAUGCUGCGGUGAAUACGUUCCCGGGUCUUG
RNAcentral lists this ribosomal RNA (380 nucleotides) under uncultured bacterium. RNAcentral's name for it is "bacterial SSU rRNA". It matches the Rfam family "Bacterial small subunit ribosomal RNA", at positions 1002 to 1383 of the family's 1533-position model. The record is from RNAcentral.